Long non-coding RNA from Loxodonta africana (African savanna elephant), 4761 nucleotides. RefSeq lists it as uncharacterized. Lineage: Eukaryota; Metazoa; Chordata; Mammalia; Proboscidea; Elephantidae. The transcript has 13 exons. The record is from RefSeq and is a predicted model, not a curated record.
UGAGCAAAGUUGGAGGUUAAUAUACUGGAAAACACAUUACAACCUUAGAUUUUUUGCUAUAGAAACAAAAGCUCAGAAAAAGUUUACCAUUAUUGUUUGUAGAACCUGUUGAACCUGAUACCUUAAUCCUAGCACUACCUGUGGAUUCUUUGCCUGAAGGCGUUAAUGAUGUCCCUGCCUUCAAUAGACUCGGUGUGCAUUGAAGCCAUGGAAUAGUGACACAUUCCAUGAGCUCUCAAUCAAAAGCCCUGUCUAAUCUUUGGCUGGAAGGUCGACUUCGGGAGCAGCUUCAGUUCUGAGUUACCAAGGUGACUAGGGGCCAUAGUCUUGGGGGUUCCUCCAGUCACUGUCAGAAUAUGUUUCAGUUCUACAUUUGCUGUCUACUUCACACAAAGUAGUUUUGUAUAUUUAGUGUUACUCUUGGCUACCCUAUCGAUGCUGUUGUUAUUCACUUCGCCCAAGAGAAGAUUUCAUAUUAUUGGGAUAAAACUGAUCGCAUGGAAAUUUCAUUUAAGCCCAUCUUAAUGUAUGGUCUAUGCCAAGAAGAGGAGAGUUUAUUACUUGCCUUUGGGGCUUUUGAUUCAUCUUCUUGCGUGAGCAGCAUGAGAACCUGCCCUGUGUUUGAGAGGAAGCUCCUUGGACUGGAACACAUGUGGUUGGCAGGGCCUGGUGUGAACAUGGCCUGCUUCAAAGGAGUUGGGCUUGUGAGUUGAGGGAAAGAAGCCAAUAGAAGAUAAAUCUAGAAAAAAUAGCUGGCACUGCUUUGAGUGAUUCAGCCUUGAAUUCUUCCUAUGAAGGAAGAGAGGGCAGAAGAGGAUGGUCUCAGACAUCGCAACAUCAUCACUGUUGAAGGCUAUUGGGAAGUUUCUGCUUCAUACAAGGUAUUUGAAGAGGAUAUCAAGGAGCACAGGCCUUGAAAACCUUCUCCACUCUUUGCUCCUUAAACUCUGGGAAGGACAGUUCAGAAAAUCAGUGUCUGCAUCAUCACACUGGGAAAGUUAAACACCACCCUCUUCUGUCACAGCCCCAAGGCCUCUAAACAACUCACUGGAAACUAUUUUAAGCUCACUACUUCUUUCCCAGAGUCCUAAAAUAUUCCAUCACGUUGUUUAUAAGGUAUUUGUUUGUUUUCUCAACAUUUUCUGUUUUAACUUCCAAUUGUUAACAGUGCGCAACAGUGUGCUUCUUUUCUUUUCUUUUUUUAUUUUAUUUAUUUAUUUACUGUCAUCCUGAAAAUGUGAUUUUCAUCUAUUUUAUACAGAGGUGCAUUUUCUUAAUUCAUAAUGUGUGCAUUGUAGACACUCUGACACAAACCUCAAUGCAUAUGCGUCAAUCUAUCCUAGCAUUUCCCAGAGGCAGAGAACUUCCUGGUUCAAACAUAUACAGGACUGGAGGUGCUCACUUGUCCAUGACAGGAAAUUUGGAAAGCAGCUGCCUAGCCAAUGGACUGGAAGAGAUCCAGAUUUUUGCCCAUUGUAAAGAAAGGUGAUCUAACCGAAUGCAGAAAUUAUCAAACAAUGUCAUUAAUAUCACACAUAAGUCAAAUUUUGCAGAUGAUAUUCAAAAGCAUUUGCAUAUUGCAUAACACAUCAACAGGGAACUGCCAAAAAUUCAAGCCGGAUUCAGAAGAGAAUGUAGAACAAGAGUUAACAUUACUAAUGUCAAAUGGAUCUUGGUGAAAGGAAAGAAUACCAGAAAGAUGUUUACCUAUGUCUUAUUGAUUAUGCAAAGGCAUUCGAAUAUGUGGAUCAUAACAAAUUAUGGGUAACAUUUCGAAGAGCAGGAAUUCCUGAACACUUAAUUGUGCUCAUGAGGAAUCUGUACAUAGACCAAGAGGCAGUCAUUCAAACAGAACAAGGGGAUACUGUGUGGUUUAAAGUCAGGAAAUGCGUGUGUCAGGGUUGUAUCCUUUCAACAUACUUACACAAUCUGUAUAUUGAGCAAAUAAUCUGAGAAGCUGGACUAUAUGAAGAAUGACAGGGCAUCAGGAUUGGAGGAAGACUCAUUAACAAUCUACAAAAUGCAGAUGAUACAACCUUGCUUACUGCAAACAAAGAGGACUUGAAGCCCUUACUGAAGAAGAUCAAAGACCACAGCCGUCGGUAUGGAUUACACCUCAACAUAAAGAAAACAAAAAUUCUCACAACUGGACUAAUAAGCAACAUCAUGAUAAAUGGAGAAAAUAUUAAAGUUGUCAAGGAUUUCAUUUUACUUGGAUCCAUAAUCAACGCCCAUGGAAACAGCAGUCAAGAAGUCAAAAGAUGUAUUGCAUUGGGCAAAUCUGCUCCAAAAGAUCUCUUUAAAGUGUUAAAAAGCAAAGAUGUCACUUUGAGGACUAAGGCGCUCCUGACCCAAGCCAUGGUAUUUCCAAUCACCUCAUAUGCAUGUGAAAACUGGACAAUGAGUAAGGAAGACUGAAGAAGAAAGGAGAAUUGAUGCAUCUGAAUGAUGGUAUUGGUGAAGAACAUUGAAUAUAUCAUGGAUGAUCAGACAAAUGUAGCCCUGGUGGCCCAGUGUUUAAGCAUUCAGCUACUAACCAAAAAGUCAGCAGUUCAAAACCAAAAGCUGCUCCUUGGAAACCCUAUGAGGCAGUUCUACUCUGCUGUAUAGGGUCACUAUGAGUGGCAAUCAACUCCAUGGCAACGGGUUUCACCAGAAGAAUGAACACACCUGUCUUGGACGAAGUCUAACCAGAAAGUUCUAUAGAGGCAAGGAUGGCAAGACUUUAUCUCACAUACUUUGGACAUGUUGUUAGAAGGGGCCAGUCACUGGAGAAGGACAUCAUGCUUGGUAAAGCAGAGGGUGAGAAAAAAAGAGGAAGACCCUCAACAAGAUGGAUUGACACAGUAGCUGCAAUGAUGGCUUGAAGCAUAGCAAGGAUUGUAAGGAUAGUGCAGGACCAGACAGUGUUUCGUUCUAUUGUUCAUAGGGUCACUAUGAGUAGGAACUGAGUUGAAGGCAUCUAACAAGAACAACAAUCUUUAUGGAGGACUGCCACAUCUUUCUUACCCGGAGUGACUGGUGGGUUUGAACUGCCAACUUUUUCAGUUAAGAGCCGAGCCCUUUAACCACUGUGCCACCAUGGCACCUGAAAAAGUGCUAGGUUCCCCCAAAUCUGAAUUUGCCUCUGUUAGUAAGACUUGAAUGACAAAUGAAAUUUAAUUUAAAUCUUUGCAAGAACAAAAUUAUUUCUUUCAAAGCAGCCAUCCCUGGUAUUGUGAAUUUCUUUUGGCAAGAAUAUUGGAGAUAGACUUUGGGUUUUUUUUUUUAAGAAUUUUAUAGUACCAUUAAUAAUGCAAAUUUUAAAAUAAGUCCUAAUAUAAAAAGUAUCAGAAAAAUAAUUGACUUAUUUAUUUAUUUUUUUUUGCAUCCUCAGGUUGCCUGAGUAUAAAAUUUAAAAAGAGUUAAGUGCUUAAAUCAAAGUGUAAAGCAGAGGAUUCAGAUCGUUUGGUUGUAAGAAAACUAAAUUUGCUACCAGGAAGUGGGGUGAUAAUCAAGUUAUUAUAAGAACACAAUAGGCAAAUAAAGGCAUCCAAAAACAAGAACUAAAGUACUGGCAGGCCACAGGACAACUGGAACUGGAACUCCAAAAGCCUAGGGACACAGUGGAAAGAAUUACUGAGAAACUAAGGAUGAACGAAGAAGGUUUAGGACUCUCUGACCUACCUCGUUUAAUCUUCAUAUCAACCAAUGGAGAAUAUUUCCACCAAGAUCAAGAGCUAAAAGAAAAUUAAUUGGGCGAACAUAUAUUAAGUAUCAACUGUGUUUAAUAAGACACAAUUCUUUACAUAGACUCUUUUAUGACCUGGAAGGGAGAAUAACAAGUACAAACGACCAUGUUGCACAAGAGUUCCAAAGAAGCCACACAGACCAGAAGUGCAAACGAUUGAUGAUGGGAAAAACAUUAGAAAAAUCUCCCUCUUCAUUAUCAUCCUCAUGAAUUUCUUCUUCUAGCUCCCUCUUGCCCUGCUAACAUGUUGUUAUUAUCCUCUUGCAACCUCUUUCCUGGGAAAAAGAAGACUUGUAGCUUUAUCUUUCUAUGUAGAUUCUUUGAGGAAAAUUCUCUGCAUGUUCACGAGGGUGGUUUACAAUAAAAAUCUUUGAGAGGCCUAAGCACAUUUUUCAUUGAAAACAAACUUUUUUCCCCCCCACAGAAACCUGUCUCAUCAGAUAACCCUAAACAUUAUAGAGCUUGCACACACAAAUUGUAGUUGACCACAGGAUGUGAAUGGGGCAUAGGAUUAAAUAAUUGGAGUUCACCAUGGUGAUAGUAACAGUUUAUUUUUACAGAAACAAAAUAAAAAUGCUACUCAUUUCUCCUUCUUAGAAUUCACUCACAGGAUAAGUGCCUUUUGGGUAUGCACAGAUGCUCUGAGUCAUGUCACCGUCUUCAGUCCUGGGAAAUUGCCCUCUUUUGUUUGUCUGUAUGCCCCCUCCUUCAACCAAACCUGAUGUAGACUAGCAGAGAAAAGCCUCAGUGUAAAAUGCUGUGAAGUCACCUUAAAUUGUUGCUUUCAGACCCACUGUAUGGGGAUCUUUUAUGCAAAGAUAGAACACUUCAUGAAUUCAAGAUAAUCAUAAUUUAGAUAGAGAUACCCAAAUGCCAUUUUUCUAUCAGGUUCCUGCAGUGGGUUUUAUGUUUCAAAAUCCCAACUCUAGACUUAUAAGAUUGGCUUGAGACCUGGAGACCAAGAUUCCAAGAUGAUCAUACUAUCUCAUCAAAACAGACUGAGAAUAAUUUCAUAACUGACUCUGAUCUUG